UUUCCGUAGGUGAACCUGCGGAAGGAUCAUUACCGAGUGAGGGCCCUCUGGGUCCAACCUCCCACCCGUGUUUAUUUACCUUGUUGCUUCGGCGAGCCUGCCUUUUGGCUGCCGGGGGACGUCAGUCCCCGGGUCCGUGCUCGCCGGAGACACCUUAGAACUCUGUCUGAAGAUUGUAGUCUGAGAUAAAAUAUAAAUUAUUUAAAACUUUCAACAACGGAUCUCUUGGUUCCG
RNAcentral lists this unclassified non-coding RNA (234 nucleotides) under plant metagenome. RNAcentral describes it as "partial contains small subunit ribosomal RNA, internal transcribed spacer 1, and 5.8S ribosomal RNA". The record is from RNAcentral.